This 76-nucleotide transfer RNA is filed under the name Pseudomonadales bacterium. RNAcentral's name for it is "tRNA-Phe". It matches the Rfam family "tRNA". Rfam says of the family: Transfer RNA (tRNA) molecules are approximately 80 nucleotides in length. Their secondary structure includes four short double-helical elements and three loops (D, anti-codon, and T loops). Further hydrogen bonds mediate the characteristic L-shaped molecular structure. tRNAs have two regions of fundamental functional importance: the anti-codon, which is responsible for specific mRNA codon recognition, and the 3' end, to which the tRNAs corresponding amino acid is attached (by aminoacyl-tRNA synthetases). tRNAs cope with the degeneracy of the genetic code in two manners: having more than one tRNA (with a specific anti-codon) for a particular amino acid; and 'wobble' base-pairing, i.e. permitting non-standard base-pairing at the 3rd anti-codon position. RNAcentral also lists the same sequence under 13 other names. The record is from RNAcentral. Lineage: Bacteria; Pseudomonadati; Pseudomonadota; Gammaproteobacteria; Pseudomonadales.
GGCUGGGUAGCUCAGUCGGUAGAGCAGAGGACUGAAAAUCCUUGUGUCGGCGGUUCGAUUCCGCCCCCAGCCACCA